AAGUCGACGAGUUCUGAUUAUUGAAAGGUGCUUGCAUCUUGAUUUAAUUUUGAACGAGUGGCGGACGGGUGAGUAACACGUGGGUAACCUGCCCUUAAGUGGGGGAUAACAUUUGGAAACAGAUGCUAAUACCGCAUAAAUCCAAGAACCGCAUGGUUCUUGGCUGAAAGAUGGCGUAAGCUAUCGCUUUUGGAUGGACCCGCGGCGUAUUAGCUAGUUGGUGAGGUAACGGCUCACCAAGGCAAUGAUACGUAGCCGAACUGAGAGGUUGAUCGGCCACAUUGGGACUGAGACACGGCCCAAACUCCUACGGGAGGCAGCAGUAGGGAAUCUUCCACAAUGGACGCAAGUCUGAUGGAGCAACGCCGCGUGAGUGAAGAAGGCUUUCGGGUCGUAAAACUCUGUUGUUGGAGAAGAAUGGUCGGCAGAGUAACUGUUGUCGGCGUGACGGUAUCCAACCAGAAAGCCACGGCUAACUACGUGCCAGCAGCCGCGGUAAUACGUAGGUGGCAAGCGUUAUCCGGAUUUAUUGGGCGUAAAGCGAGCGCAGGCGGUUUUUUAAGUCUGAUGUGAAAGCCCUCGGCUUAACCGAGGAAGUGCAUCGGAAACUGGGAAACUUGAGUGCAGAAGAGGACAGUGGAACUCCAUGUGUAGCGGUGAAAUGCGUAGAUAUAUGGAAGAACACCAGUGGCGAAGGCGGCUGUCUGGUCUGUAACUGACGCUGAGGCUCGAAAGCAUGGGUAGCGAACAGGAUUAGAUACUCUGGU
This 767-nucleotide ribosomal RNA is filed under the name Lacticaseibacillus rhamnosus. RNAcentral describes it as "bacterial SSU rRNA". It matches the Rfam family "Bacterial small subunit ribosomal RNA", at positions 59 to 791 of the family's 1533-position model. The record is from RNAcentral. Lineage: Bacteria; Bacillati; Bacillota; Bacilli; Lactobacillales; Lactobacillaceae.